CAGUAGCCACGGGAAUACGUAGGUGGCAAGCGUUGUCCGGAAUUAUUGGGCGUAAAGGGCUCGCAGGCGGUUUCUUAAGUCUGAUGUGAAAGCCCCCGGCUCAACCGGGGAGGGUCAUUGGAAACUGGGAAACUUGAGUGCAGAAGAGGAGAGUGGAAUUCCACGUGUAGCGGUGAAAUGUGUAGAGAUGUGGAGGAACACCAGUGGCGAAGGCGACUCUCUGGUCUGUAACUGACGCUGAGGAGCGAAAGCGUGGGGAGCGAACAGGAUUAGAUACCCCUGUAGUCCCUGUCUCUUAUAC
This 301-nucleotide ribosomal RNA is filed under the name uncultured bacterium. RNAcentral's name for it is "partial 16S ribosomal RNA". It matches the Rfam family "Bacterial small subunit ribosomal RNA", at positions 509 to 807 of the family's 1533-position model. The record is from RNAcentral.